GUGGGGAAUAUUGGACAAUGGGCGAAAGCCUGAUCCAGCAAUGCCGCGUGAGUGAAGAAGGCCCUAGGGUUGUAAAACUCUUUCAGUGGUGAUGAUGAUGACAGUAACCACAGAAGAAGCACCGGCUAACUUCGUGCCAGCAGCCGCGGUAAUACGAAGGGUGCUAGCGUUGUUCGGAAUUACUGGGCGUAAAGAGCAUGUAGGCGGAUGGAUUAGUCAGAGGUGAAAGCCCCGAGCUCAACUUGGGAACUGCCUUUGAUACUGUUCAUCUUGAGUCCGAGAGAGGUUAGUGGAAUUCCCAGUGUAGAGGUGAAAUUCGUAGAUAUUGGGAAGAACACCAGUGGCGAAGGCGGCUAACUGGCUCGGUACUGACGCUGAGAUGCGAAAGCGUGGGGAGCAAACAGGAUUAGAAACCCGAGUAGUCC
This 425-nucleotide ribosomal RNA is filed under the name uncultured bacterium. RNAcentral's name for it is "bacterial SSU rRNA". It matches the Rfam family "Bacterial small subunit ribosomal RNA", at positions 354 to 796 of the family's 1533-position model. The record is from RNAcentral.